GAAUUCAAAGAAAAAUGAAAUCAACGCAAGCAAUUCGUCAUAUAAUUCAAUUUCCAAAUCCAGAAAAGGAAAAAAACUGCAAAAGCGAGGAAACCCUUGCUGUAAAAAAAAAAAAAACAAAAGGAAACCCUUUUGUGAAUUAAAUUAAUAAGAGGAGAAACUAAAGAAAAGAAAUCAUGCAAUGAAAAUUGAGUAAAUGGGCAUGAGCAAGAAGAGAAGAGAAGAAGAGAAUUGCCACCUCAAGAGCGGACAAAGU
This 256-nucleotide unclassified non-coding RNA is filed under the name Hevea brasiliensis (rubber tree). The record is from RNAcentral. Lineage: Eukaryota; Viridiplantae; Streptophyta; Magnoliopsida; Malpighiales; Euphorbiaceae.